Molecule: ribosomal RNA, 1334 nt
Filed under: uncultured bacterium
Lineage: Bacteria
Description: bacterial SSU rRNA
Rfam family: Bacterial small subunit ribosomal RNA
Source: RNAcentral
GACGAACGCUGGCGGCGCGCCUAACACAUGCAAGUCGAACGAGCGAGAGAGAGCUUGCUUUCUCGAGCGAGUGGCGAACGGGUGAGUAACGCGUGAGGAACCUGCCUCAAAGAGGGGGACAACAGUUGGAAACGACUGCUAAUACCGCAUAAGCCCACGGGUCGGCAUCGACCAGAGGGAAAAGGAGCAAUCCGCUUUGAGAUGGCCUCGCGUCCGAUUAGCUAGUUGGUGAGGUAACGGCCCACCAAGGCGACGAUCGGUAGCCGGACUGAGAGGUUGAACGGCCACAUUGGGACUGAGACACGGCCCAGACUCCUACGGGAGGCAGCAGUGGGGAAUAUUGCACAAUGGGGGAAACCCUGAUGCAGCGACGCCGCGUGGAGGAAGAAGGUCUUCGGAUUGUAAACUCCUGUUGUUGAGGAAGAUAAUGACGGUACUCAACAAGGAAGUGACGGCUAACUACGUGCCAGCAGCCGCGGUAAAACGUAGGUCACAAGCGUUGUCCGGAAUUACUGGGUGUAAAGGGAGCGCAGGCGGGAAGACAAGUUGGAAGUGAAAUCUAUGGGCUCAACCCAUAAACUGCUUUCAAAACUGUUUUUCUUGAGUAGUGCAGAGGUAGGCGGAAUUCCCGGUGUAGCGGUGGAAUGCGUAGAUAUCGGGAGGAACACCAGUGGCGAAGGCGGCCUACUGGGCACCAACUGACGCUGAGGCUCGAAAGUGUGGGUAGCAAACAGGAUUAGAUACCCUGGUAGUCCACACCGUAAACGAUGAUUACUAGGUGUUGGAGGAUUGACCCCUUCAGUGCCGCAGUUAACACAAUAAGUAAUCCACCUGGGUAGUACGACCGCAAGGUUGAAACUCAAAGGAAUUGACGGGGGCCCGCACAAGCAGUGGAGUAUGUGGUUUAAUUCGACGCAACGCGAAGAACCUUACCAAGUCUUGACAUCUCUUGACGAACAUAGAAAUAUGUUUUCUCUUCGGAGCAAGGAGACAGGUGGUGCAUGGUUGUCGUCAGCUCGUGUCGUGAGACGUUGGGUUAAGUCCCGCAACGAGCGCAACCCUUACUGUCAGUUACUACGCAAGAGGACUCUGGCAGGACUGCCGUUGACAAAACGGAGGAAGGUGGGGAUGACGUCAAAUCAUCAUGCCCUUUAUGACUUGGGCUACACACGUACUACAAUGGCGUUAAACAAAGAGAAGCAAGACCGCGAGGUGGAGCAAAACUCAGAAACAACGUCCCAGUUCGGACUGCAGGCUGCAACUCGCCUGCACGAAGUCGGAAUUGCUAGUAAUCGUGGAAUCAGCAUGCCACGGUGAAUACGUUCCCGGGCCUU